Non-coding RNA from Seriola dumerili (greater amberjack), 627 nucleotides. The record is from the annotation of a RefSeq genome assembly. Lineage: Eukaryota; Metazoa; Chordata; Actinopteri; Carangiformes; Carangidae.
UCAGUUGAUGAUGGAGUCUGUGCUGGUCUGUCUGAUCCUCGUCUCUCUCAGCGGUUUCCGGUGGGGGCACCAGUCCGCUGCUCUGCCAGCCUCCGCGGUCCAGGUGAGAGUAGGGGAGGAUGCCACCCUACAGUGCCCCCUGCUGGACAAUGCCACCACAGCUGCCCCACCUGCCUACUCCACUCUAAGCUGGUACAGGAAGGUGACAGGAGGGAGUCCUCAGCUGCUCCUCACCAUCAGGUCUACCAACAGCUCUCAUGUGAAAUUCGGCUCUGGUGUCAGUCCUGAUAAAGUGUCUGCUACAGCCGACGGCUCUCUGCUGCUGCGACGCUCGGAGCACAGUGACUCUGCAGUUUAUUACUGUGGGAUCAGUCAGGGACAGGAGCCCAAGAACAAAUCAGCAGGGACUCAGAGACUCACAGAGACAUGAAUUUAGACCUGAUUCCUGGUCUACUUGUCCAGACUGAGCAGAUUUUACUUUGACUUCCAUUUUAGGAUUUAGAGUCUCAGCUUUAGAUGGUUUCUGUUGCAGAAUAGCUUUGAUUUUUCUGAUUGUGUUUUAAAACUUAUUUCAGAUUAUAGGACUAUGAAUCUGGUCAACUGACUGAAUGAACAGAAAAAUAUAAA